GAGUGCUCCCCGAGUGUCCACCGUCGGCCUGUUCUGUUCCAGGGGCAGGGCCACAUCUUUGUGUGCCAAGGAGGGGACUGGUGGGCUGGAGUCCCAGGGGGAGAUUAUUCCAAGUAGGGGCUCCAGAAAGAUGGCUCGUUCGGAACACCACCUGGAUACGGCUGU
Molecule: small RNA, 165 nt
Filed under: Pongo abelii (Sumatran orangutan)
Lineage: Eukaryota; Metazoa; Chordata; Mammalia; Primates; Hominidae
Description: processed transcript
Source: RNAcentral